AGCGGCAGACGGGUGAGUAACGCGUGGGAAUCUACCUUAAGCUACGGGAUAACAGAGAGAAAUUUCUGCUAAUACCGUAUGUGGCCUAUGGGCGAAAGAUUUAUCGGCUUAAGAUGAGCCCGCGUUGGAUUAGCUAGUUGGUGGGGUAAAGGCCUACCAAGGCGACGAUCCAUAGCUGGUCUGAGAGGAUGAUCAGCCACACUGGGACUGAGACACGGCCCAGACUCCUACGGGAGGCAGCAGUGGGGAAUAUUGGACAAUGGGCGGAAGCCUGAUCCAGCCAUGCCGCGUGAGUGAAGAAGGCCUUAGGGUUGUAAAGCUCUUUCACCGGUGAAGAUAAUGACGGUAACCGGAGAUGAAGCCCCGGCUAACUUCGUGCCAGCAGCCGCGGUAAUACGAAGGGGGCUAGCGUUGUUCGGAUUUACUGGGCGUAAAGCGCGCGUAGGCGGAUAGAUAAGUCAGAGGUGAAAUCCCGGGGCUCAACCCCGGAAUUGCCUUUGAUACUAUUUAUCUUGAGUGCAGAAGAGGUAAGUGGAAUUCCGAGUGUAGAGGUGAAAUUCGUUGAUAUUCGGAGGAACACCAGUGGCGAANGCGGCUUACUGGUCUGCAACUGACGCUGAGGCGCGAAAGCGU
Molecule: ribosomal RNA, 633 nt
Filed under: uncultured Hyphomicrobiales bacterium
Lineage: Bacteria; Pseudomonadati; Pseudomonadota; Alphaproteobacteria; Hyphomicrobiales
Description: bacterial SSU rRNA
Rfam family: Bacterial small subunit ribosomal RNA
Source: RNAcentral